AGACGUCUACAUUGAUACCCGGGUAGUCCCAGCCGUAAACUAUGCGCGUUAGGUGUAUCGGUGACCACGAGUCACCGAGGUGCCGAAGGGAAACCGUGAAACGUGCCGCCUGGGAAGUACGGUCGCAAGGCUGAAACUUAAAGGAAUUGGCGGGGAGCACCACAACGGGUGGAGCCUGCGGUUUAAUUGGACUCAACGCCGGGAAGCUCACCGGAUAAGACAGCGGAAUGAUUGCCGGGCUGAAGACUCUGCAUGACUAGCUG
Molecule: ribosomal RNA, 263 nt
Filed under: uncultured archaeon
Lineage: Archaea
Description: partial 16S ribosomal RNA
Rfam family: Archaeal small subunit ribosomal RNA
Source: RNAcentral